Non-coding RNA from Podarcis lilfordi (Lilford's wall lizard), 79 nucleotides. The record is from the annotation of a GenBank genome assembly. NCBI's taxonomy places the organism in Eukaryota, Metazoa, Chordata, Lepidosauria, Squamata, Lacertidae.
GCAAAGGUAGCUCAGCUGGUUACAGCCUGGUGCUGAUAAUGCCAAGGUUGCAGGUUCGAUCCUGUAUGAGGCAUCUGCA